UUGAUUUUAUGCUCCGUGUAAAUCACAAAUUAUGAUUCAUCGAUCGGGAUUUCCAUUCCCAACAGUUGGUAGCAGAGGAUGGUUUUGUGUUGACACAUGAGCGGAGAUUGGACUGGCCGUUCAGGCGCAGACUUUCCGGAACAGUACUCUGGUCCUCUGGCCCAUAUGAAAGGUAAGGACACUUGUUCCUUAAUACACCAUUGUACUGUUUCUCAGGUGUGUAUAAAUUUCAGUUAUCAGCCGUCGUCUGUACCGUUUCCCAGGUUUGUCUAAAUUUCAUAUUGCUUUUACAUUUCUGUUCAAAUUGCGUUUCACUGGCCUGUCUACAUGUUUAACUGUUCAUAGGAGUAUAGACAAGAAAAAGUAGAUUUAGAUGUGGAGAAACUAAGUAGUUUUUAGGUGUGAAGAAAUAAAGUAGUUUUUAGGUGUGAAGAAAUAAAGUAGUUUUUAGGUGUGAAGAACUAAAGUAGUUUUUAGGUGUGAAGAAACUAAGUAGUUUUUAGGUGUGAAGAACUAAAGUAGUUUUUAGGUGUGAAGAAAUAAAGUAGUUUUUAGGUGUGAAGAUUUAGGUGUAAAGGUCGAUUGGCUUACAGUGGGAGCUGGCCGUCCCCAGCUUUUCCUGGACGCGGGGAAGGUUAAGGCUAGGUUUUGUCGUUUUAUCCUCGGGGAGUGCUGCCCUCUGAGACUUUCCCAAGAGACGCAAAGCGUUGAGAGCGGUCCUCAAUGCUCUCAACGCAUUGAGAACCGUUAUUUCAUAAGAAUGAAAUAACGGUUGAUCGCGGUCUGAUCCUCUGUAGAGUAAUAAGUGAUAAAAGAGGACAAAAAUAGGAGCUGUAAAGCGUGGGUCCAUUUCUGUGUAAAGUUGUGUGUGUAUCUGUCAGUUGUGUGUGUCUGUCAGCUGUGUGUGUAAGCUUCUGCCGCUGAGCAGACGUUAUGUGUUUAAAUGUACUUUUUUCUGUUUAUUGCAAUGUGUUUUAAAACCAUGGUCAACAUUGGAAAAUUAUAAUCUGUGGGAGGUUUUUGAUUUUGUCUACUGGGUUUGAUUUUCCGCUGUGUUUGAUUUCUUUUUUUUUUUUGCUGUGUUUGCAAAAAAGAAAAAAAGAGAAGAGAGGUGAUUUCUGAGUCUAAAUUUUGAGCCUAAACAGAUGGAGGGUGAACUUGAAAAGGAAAAAUACGAUCCAAAGUGGUACGCCAGGACAUGGAUUACGCUCGGUGAGCAAAUAGAACCAUUAAUAACUUAUUUGGCAGAUCAUGAUGAAUAUCAAAAUAAGGGAAAAAGAGAAAAACAAAAAAAGGGAUAGAAUACCUGGUGCAGAAGAAAGGAGGCGACCUGUUAAACAGACAGCCCUCGGGGAAAUACCGGCUGGAAGGAAUGACGCUAAGGGAAAACUGAUUGGAACUAAACUAAUCCGGCACAAUUCACUAUUUUCAGAUGUGGUAAUAGUGAAAAUAUUACCACAUCUGAAUGUGGUAAUAUUUUACCACAGAUGAAUGAAAUUACAUAACAGGUAAAAUUGUAAACAAAAUAAAGUGACAUCUAAUGGGUUGAAGCAUUUGAAACUCGGCUUAGCUGUAGACAGGGUUAAAUUUAAACUUAAUGAAACUUGAAAAAUUGAGAUUUGUAGCAGACUUGAACUUUAUUAUGGACUAAACAAUAUUUUUCUCUCUUAUUAUC
Non-coding RNA from Poecilia reticulata (guppy), 1675 nucleotides. NCBI's taxonomy places the organism in Eukaryota, Metazoa, Chordata, Actinopteri, Cyprinodontiformes, Poeciliidae. The record is from RefSeq and is a predicted model, not a curated record.